Molecule: long non-coding RNA, 555 nt
Filed under: Cyanistes caeruleus (blue tit)
Lineage: Eukaryota; Metazoa; Chordata; Aves; Passeriformes; Paridae
Description: lncRNA (ENSCCEG00000004617.1)
Source: RNAcentral
UCACUCCAGGAGCUCAGCUGGGGGACGGCUCUGUUCCAGACCUUGUCAGGUCCCGAGGGUGCUCAGCACCAUCCCGGGGGUGCAGGAUGAAUGCCGAGGGUGCUCAGCACCAUCCCGAGAGUGCUGAGCACCAUCCCGAGGGUGCAGGACCAUCCCGAGGGUGCAGCACCAUCCCGAGGGUGCUCAGCACCAUCCCGAGGUACUCAGCACCUCACCACUCCCUCUUCAGAGCCCCAAAAAAGGGAUGGGUUAUCAGGAAAAAAGGGGUUUAAGCUGAGGGAAAAAGCUUCCUUUUCCACAAUUGCCUGUGUUCAAAUUGAAGAGGAAUCCACUUUCCCUGCAAUUUUAAUAGUCUCAAUGGGAGCAUUUCAAGGGUUUAAAGCUGCAUUUCAGGGCACUUCUACCCACACCCUGGCACCAAAUAUCUGCGACGGGAGCGAGGCCAGCAGGAGAAUUUCCAGAAGUUCUAGGUCACAUCAAGUGCGAUACUUCAGAUUCUCUCAGCAGAUUCAUCGUAACACAAAAGGGAACCGCCCCCGCAGCAGCUUUCCUUAG